Molecule: ribosomal RNA, 253 nt
Filed under: uncultured bacterium
Lineage: Bacteria
Description: partial 16S ribosomal RNA
Rfam family: Bacterial small subunit ribosomal RNA
Source: RNAcentral
UACGGAGGGGGCUAGCGUUGUUCGGAAUUACUGGGCGUAAAGCGCACGUAGGCGGCUUUGUGAGUUAGAGGUGAAAGCCUGGAGCUCAACGCCAGAAUUGCCUUUAAGACUGCAUGGCUUGAGUCCAGGAGAGGUGAGUGGAAUUCCGAGUGUAGAGGUGAAAUUUGUAGAUAUUCGGAAGAACACCAGUGGCGAAGGCGGCUCUCUGGACUGGCACUGACGCUGAGGUGCGAAAGCGUGGGGAGCAAACAGG